RNAcentral lists this unclassified non-coding RNA (205 nucleotides) under soil metagenome. Its description in RNAcentral is "partial contains 5.8S ribosomal RNA, internal transcribed spacer 2, and large subunit ribosomal RNA". The record is from RNAcentral.
AACCUAGCACACCUGCGGUGUGUACCUGCGGAGGGAUCAUUACAGAGAUUGAUGCACCAAGUGCAUCACCUCCAACCCCUUGCGAAAACAACUAUCAUGUGUUGCUUUGGCAGUGUUUCCACUGCCAGAGGUUUACAUAAAAUCAGCUGUUGGAUGUUGUCUGAGUAAACUAUAUGAAUUAUUUAAAACUUUCAACAAUGGAUCU